This 214-nucleotide ribosomal RNA is filed under the name uncultured bacterium. RNAcentral describes it as "partial 16S ribosomal RNA". It matches the Rfam family "Bacterial small subunit ribosomal RNA", at positions 309 to 525 of the family's 1533-position model. The record is from RNAcentral.
CGCCCGCCGCGCGCGGCGGGCUACGGGAGGCAGCAGUGGGGAAUAUUGCACAAUGGGCGCAAGCCUGAUGCAGCCAUGCCGCGUGUAUGAAGAAGGCCUUCGGGUUGUAAAGUACUUUCAGCGGGGAGGAAGGUGUUGAGGUUAAUAACCUCAGCAAUUGACGUUACCCGCAGAAGAAGCACCGGCUAACUCCGCGCCAGCAGCCGCGGUAAUA